Molecule: ribosomal RNA, 1438 nt
Filed under: uncultured organism
Description: 16S ribosomal RNA
Rfam family: Bacterial small subunit ribosomal RNA
Source: RNAcentral
CAGGCUUAACACAUGCAAGUCGAGGGGCAUCAGGAAGAAAGCUUGCUUUCUUUGCUGGCGACCGGCGCACGGGUGAGUAACACGUAUCCAACCUGCCCUUUACUCGGGGAUAGCCUUUCGAAAGAAAGAUUAAUACCCGAUAGCAUAAUGAUUCCGCAUGGUUUCAUUAUUAAAGGAUUCCGGUAAAGGAUGGGGAUGCGUUCCAUUAGGUUGUUGGUGAGGUAACGGCCCACCAAGCCUUCGAUGGAUAGGGGUUCUGAGAGGAAGGUCCCCCACAUUGGAACUGAGACACGGUCCAAACUCCUACGGGAGGCAGCAGUGAGGAAUAUUGGUCAAUGGGCGCUAGCCUGAACCAGCCAAGUAGCGUGAAGGAUGAAGGCUCUAUGGGUCGUAAACUUCUUUUAUAUAAGAAUAAAGUGCGGUAUGUAUACUGUUUUGUAUGUAUUAUAUGAAUAAGGAUCGGCUAACUCCGUGCCAGCAGCCGCGGUAAUACGGAGGAUCCGAGCGUUAUCCGGAUUUAUUGGGUUUAAAGGGAGCGUAGGUGGACUGGUAAGUCAGUUGUGAAAGUUUGCGGCUCAACCGUAAAAUUGCAGUUGAUACUGUCAGUCUUGAGUACAGUAGAGGUGGGCGGAAUUCGUGGUGUAGCGGUGAAAUGCUUAGAUAUCACGAAGAACUCCGAUUGCGAAGGCAGCUCACUGGACUGCAACUGACACUGAUGCUCGAAAGUGUGGGUAUCAAACAGGAUUAGAUACCCUGGUAGUCCACACAGUAAACGAUGAAUACUCGCUGUUUGCGAUAUACAGUAAGCGGCCAAGCGAAAGCAUUAAGUAUUCCACCUGGGGAGUACGCCGGCAACGGUGAAACUCAAAGGAAUUGACGGGGGCCCGCACAAGCGGAGGAACAUGUGGUUUAAUUCGAUGAUACGCGAGGAACCUUACCCGGGCUUAAAUUGCAGUGGAAUGAUGUGGAAACAUGUCAGUGAGCAAUCACCGCUGUGAAGGUGCUGCAUGGUUGUCGUCAGCUCGUGCCGUGAGGUGUCGGCUUAAGUGCCAUAACGAGCGCAACCCUUAUCUUUAGUUACUAACAGGUUAUGCUGAGGACUCUAGAGAGACUGCCGUCGUAAGAUGUGAGGAAGGUGGGGAUGACGUCAAAUCAGCACGGCCCUUACGUCCGGGGCUACACACGUGUUACAAUGGGGGGUACAGAAGGCAGCUAGCGGGUGACCGUAUGCUAAUCCCAAAAUCCUCUCUCAGUUCGGAUCGAAGUCUGCAACCCGACUUCGUGAAGCUGGAUUCGCUAGUAAUCGCGCAUCAGCCACGGCGCGGUGAAUACGUUCCCGGGCCUUGUACACACCGCCCGUCAAGCCAUGGGAGCCGGGGGUACCUGAAGUACGUAACCGCAAGGAUCGUCCUAGGGUAAAACUGGUGACUGGGGCUAA